AUGCAGUGAUGAUCUCUUAAAUUGUGCAUUCAACUAACUGAUUGUUGAAUGAAGAUAUAAAUUUUUUUGGCUAUGUCUGAGCAU
Molecule: non-coding RNA, 84 nt
Organism: Colius striatus (speckled mousebird)
Lineage: Eukaryota; Metazoa; Chordata; Aves; Coliiformes; Coliidae
Source: Rfam